This 201-nucleotide long non-coding RNA is filed under the name Elaeis guineensis (African oil palm). RNAcentral describes it as "long non-coding RNA (EGUI_LNC023235)". The record is from RNAcentral. Lineage: Eukaryota; Viridiplantae; Streptophyta; Magnoliopsida; Arecales; Arecaceae.
GGGCCUGGGUGACUGAUCGCGGAAAGGCUCCGAUGGCGCCGGCGGAUGACACAAGGUCGGCGGACCGCAUGGCGUCGUCUGACGUUCGGGUUCUCGAAGGAGCGUCGGCCCUGGCCAACCAUAAUUUGGCUAGGAGGUUGUGCCAGGCGACCAUCCUACCGGCCGACCAAGAGCUCUUGAAGAGUCGAUCGGUGACCGACA